UACAGAGGGUGCGAGCGUUAAUCGGAAUCAUUGGGCGUAAAGGGCGCGUAGGCGGCCGUCCAAGUCGGGUGUGAAAUCCCUCGGCUCAACCGAGGAACUGCACUCGAUACUGGUCGGCUAGAGUCCGGGAGGGGAUGGUGGAAUUCCCAGUGUAGCGGUGAAAUGCGUAGAUAUUGGGAAGAACACCGGUGGCGAAGGCGGCCAUCUGGACCGGAACUGACGCUGAGGCGCGAAAGCCAGGGGAGCGAACAGG
RNAcentral lists this ribosomal RNA (253 nucleotides) under uncultured bacterium. RNAcentral describes it as "partial 16S ribosomal RNA". It matches the Rfam family "Bacterial small subunit ribosomal RNA", at positions 524 to 776 of the family's 1533-position model. The record is from RNAcentral.